Molecule: non-coding RNA, 66 nt
Organism: Arvicanthis niloticus (Nile rat)
Lineage: Eukaryota; Metazoa; Chordata; Mammalia; Rodentia; Muridae
Source: RefSeq, a predicted model, not a curated record
GCUCUUCCAGAUCUAAGUUCAAAUCACCCUCAGCAUCAAUGUCUUUCAUAUUCCUAUUAGGAUGGC